GGGCCUGAUGAUGAGAAUAUACAAGUUAUCUCACAACGGUCUUCUGAGAACCGUUUUGAUGACACAAAUAUUCUCUGAAGCCC
This 83-nucleotide small nucleolar RNA is filed under the name Dichanthelium oligosanthes. RNAcentral describes it as "Small nucleolar RNA Z161/Z228". It matches the Rfam family "Small nucleolar RNA Z161/Z228". Rfam says of the family: Z161 and Z228 are members of the C/D class of snoRNA which contain the C (UGAUGA) and D (CUGA) box motifs. Most of the members of the box C/D family function in directing site-specific 2'-O-methylation of substrate RNAs. The record is from Rfam by way of RNAcentral. Lineage: Eukaryota; Viridiplantae; Streptophyta; Magnoliopsida; Poales; Poaceae.